Molecule: transfer RNA, 71 nt
Filed under: Ahniella affigens
Lineage: Bacteria; Pseudomonadati; Pseudomonadota; Gammaproteobacteria; Lysobacterales; Rhodanobacteraceae
Description: tRNA-Leu
Rfam family: tRNA
About the family: Transfer RNA (tRNA) molecules are approximately 80 nucleotides in length. Their secondary structure includes four short double-helical elements and three loops (D, anti-codon, and T loops).
Source: RNAcentral
CUUGGUAGCUCAAUGGUUGAGCAAUCGACUGAGAAUCGAUCGUUGUGGGUUCGAUUCCCACACCAAAACCG